AUUUUGUUGUUAAGUUUAGUUAAAUGACCAAAUUACCCCUAUAAAACAAAUAAAACACAGACCCCCUUUUUCCUCUAUUCUUCUUCUCCUUCAAGGUUAGAAAACCCUACUUCUCAAAUUCUUCUCUCUGCAAUCUUAUAUCCUCCAUACACACACCUGCUGCCAUCACUCUCGUUCUCUCCCGCUGGCGCCGGUUAACUGGCAAGCCGACACCCAAACCCUCACCUUCAUAUACCACCUACCCCCCCCCCCCUCGAUCUUUGUUACUCCAACACACACCCACCACUCACCUUCUUCCUAUAUCUAUAACAACCACACCACCCCCAAUGAAUUCCCGACGGCGGAGGUAGACGGAGAGACGGAGAGAAAGAUCGAGAUGAGAGGGGAAAAUAAGAGAAACGAGAUGCGGAGCCGGCGAGCGCCGUUUUCCGGCGACGAAUCCGCCGUCGGCAGCGGAGCAUUGAUGGCGGCGGUGAUGUUCUGAUCCGACGAGUUUCCGAUGAUUGGUGGUGGUGGUGGCCACUGUUGUUAUUGAAUUGUCGAUCUCUGAAAAAUGGGCACUGUGAAUAAUGGCCAUCUUCUUUACAACUUUUCAAGGACCAUGUCUCCUGUUUAUU
Helianthus annuus (common sunflower) is the source of this 617-nucleotide long non-coding RNA. RefSeq lists it as uncharacterized. The transcript is spliced from 2 exons. NCBI's taxonomy places the organism in Eukaryota, Viridiplantae, Streptophyta, Magnoliopsida, Asterales, Asteraceae. The record is from RefSeq and is a predicted model, not a curated record.